UGUUUCUCUAUAUUCAAUUAGGCUGAACAAAAUUUUCGUGAUGACUUGAGUACUUGCUGGUUCGCCCUACUACUAUAUGCAAAAACUCCACAGUGAAACUGAGAUAGACUAGCUGAAUGACCAUGCGCUGCUACUUAAAUAAGAAAAUUCCAAUCCUGUGGUGUAUCAGUCUCCGUACAUGUAUUUGUAAUUAUGUACACAAAAACUGACUCUUAAACAAGAUGGUGGAAAUCAUGAAUAGUGGCCCCACCUAUUUGAAAGUUCCUUUUGAUGGAAAGGAGGUGACAUGGCAGGUGGACCAUUGCCACCAACUCUAUGUGGUAGAGAGAUGCACACACAUUAAGUUCACUAUGGAGAAGGGCAUUUGUUAUAGAGAUGCAAUUGGGCUGCACAAUCCCUUGAAGAACUUGGGUUGUGAUGCAUUUUCUGUUAAAGGUCUACACACAGUGGUUUUAGACACUAGAACGGUUUAAGUUAGUUGAUGAACUAGAGCACUAGACAAAUAAGCAGUUCCAGCUAUAUUGCUGUCACUACUUACUAGUGUUGUUAAAGCCACUAUUGGUCUGCAGGUACCAACAGUUGGACUUAACAAUGUAAUUAAGUCUCAGGCCCUGUUCGGAUUACCUCUAAUCCAGUGCAUCAAUCUGUAAAAUAUUUCAGCCAAGCUGGAAACUGGCGUUUGGAUGACCAGUAUUGGGCCAGUAAAUUUCUGUUGUUUUGGUACAUACAUCUGUUACUAAGUGAUGAGGGACUCCUGUUUCCUCUUGCUGCGAGCAGACGAAGCAAUGACACGUCACCUGAGAUAUCAACACCAUUACAUCUCACCAGAAUAUUGCCCGCUCUCCUCAUACUUUGCUGCCACAUCAUCCUGUUCCAUCUUCCCUCUGCCGCUGCCUCUUGCAUAGAUCUGCCGUGCUCCCAUCACUUUCUGGUUUCUCGAUCGCCAUUGCUGCACCCUCAACUUCCCAUGCCAGCUUCCCUGCCGCUUGCUGCCCUGUCCAUGUUGACUGGACUUUCUCCUGACCUUGGCAAGUUUUGUUUCCCCUGUUUUUGUAUCCUGUUUCCUUGAUAUCCUCUCAUGUGCUCCACCUGAAAGUGUUGGAAGCUUGCUUAGUGCUCCUCUAGAACUUUGGAUGACUUGUUAUCUUUAGAUGUUUUCUUAGAAAUGCCAUUUCAGUGUAGUUCAUUAGUUUGGUUUUGUUGAGCUCAGUUGUGGUUGUGUUAGGCCCAAAACAGUCAUCCAUUUGGGUUUGUUCUAUGUAUUGAAGGUUGACGGUGAUCUUUGAUCGUGCGAAAUUUUGUUCAUGUUUUCUUGUAUUCAAGUUUGACAGUGAUCUUGAUUGUGCGAAAUUUAUUCCUUUUUUCUUAGAUUGAUCUCAUAGAACAAAAUGCAGCAAUAGGGAGAAAAUUGAUUUUAUAGAAAUAAAUAGCAACACAAAAUCGAUAUGUACAUGGAAUCUAAUGUACUAAAAAAGACGCUCAUCGGUUCAAUGGUUACCUUGAAACCGUUGUAAAGGUAGCCUGAAGCUUUGAACCGCAUGCUUAGAGAGCUCGUGCUGAUAAUGUAUGAUACCAAUAUCAAAAGGUGUUAUCCAGAGAUCGUGAUUCGUAAACAAGUAGUAGAUCAAGCACUUAGACACAAGAUAUAGGCAUAUACUAUGUUCUUUUUCUGGAUUUCUUUCUCAUGAGUACAAAAUCUUCAAAAUGCCUGGAAUAACCGGAGGCCACCAUCUAUUUAUAGACCACUGCAUUGGGAUAGGGUUUAGUAAUUGAUCAUAUGGGCCCUACAGAGCACAGUGUUGGCCAGUCAACUUGAAUGGAUUUCAUAACAAUAACAAUUUGUAAAACUUUGGCGUCUGCAAGAGUCUGGCCCUAGAAAAGUUCAUCUCAUUCCUUCUGUUGUCUUGCUAUUCCUGCCAAAGCAAUUGACACUCUGCGCGGACAAAUAGAACACAUGGUCAACUCUGGGCCAUGAUAACUAGCACCUGCAUCCUAACCUCAUCGUCAUCUCCUCUAACAACAGCAAGAAUCGCAACACCUUCAUCUUCCUUCUCUGUACAUACUCUAUGCCUCCUCUUCUUGUUACAAUCAAUUUGAGAGGAGGCUCUGUACAGCAGAAAGGCAGGCUAAGAUUGCUUGCUGAAAUUACAGAAGAAUAAUGUGGUUCUAUACAAAUUGGUCCUCGGGAAGACAAGUGUAGAUUGGAGGGAAUAGGCCUGUGGUAGCUGUCAAUGGUGGUCCACCAAUGUUUUGGCAGGAGCCGUGAGGGACAACAGAGUGAGCAUACAAUAGCAGAGGAGGAUGAAAGCAAGAUCGAGCAAGUAGUAGUAGACCCAGUGGAGGCCACGCAGAACAUCAAAUAUAGUGGACCUGUGAUGCAGCAGCUGGGAGCCAUUGCCUGUGGCACAGCAAGGAAAGGCCAAGCAUGGUGCACGCAGUGGCUACAUUAGACAAGCAAGAGAGGAAGGAGAAACUAUGCGUGGGCCUCUGAUGAGGAGGCCACAAGGGCACGGUCAGCAUGCCAUGUAAAUGGUCAGCGCAACUGCAGAUAGGUAUGGACAUUUACCGGUACCCUUAGCAAGUUUAGGGAGUUGAUUGUGCGUUUAAGAG
Molecule: long non-coding RNA, 2610 nt
Organism: Brachypodium distachyon (stiff brome)
Lineage: Eukaryota; Viridiplantae; Streptophyta; Magnoliopsida; Poales; Poaceae
Exons: 2
Source: RefSeq, a predicted model, not a curated record